This 610-nucleotide ribosomal RNA is filed under the name uncultured Lachnospiraceae bacterium. RNAcentral describes it as "bacterial SSU rRNA". It matches the Rfam family "Bacterial small subunit ribosomal RNA", at positions 94 to 722 of the family's 1533-position model. Lineage: Bacteria; Bacillati; Bacillota; Clostridia; Lachnospirales; Lachnospiraceae. The record is from RNAcentral.
AGUGGCGGACGGGUGAGUAACGCGUGGGUAACCUGCCUUAUACAGGGGGAUAACAGUCAGAAAUGGCUGCUAAUACCGCAUAAGCGCACAGAGCUGCAUGGCUCAGUGUGAAAAACUCCGGUGGUAUAAGAUGGACCCGCGUUGGAUUGGCUGGUUGGUGGGGUAACGGCCCACCAAGGCGACGAUCAGUAGCCGACCUGAGAGGGUGACCGGCCACAUUGGGACUGAGACACGGCCCAGACUCCUACGGGAGGCAGCAGUGGGGAAUAUUGCACAAUGGAGGAAACUCUGAUGCAGCGACGCCGCGUGAGUGAAGAAGUAAUUCGUUAUGUAAAGCUCUAUCAGCAGGGAAGAUAGUGACGGUACCUGACUAAGAAGCUCCGGCUAAAUACGUGCCAGCAGCCGCGGUAAUACGUAUGGAGCAAGCGUUAUCCGGAUUUACUGGGUGUAAAGGGAGUGUAGGUGGCAUCACAAGUCAGAAGUGAAAGCCCGGGGCUCAACCCCGGGACUGCUUUUGAAACUGUGGAGCUGGAGUGCAGGAGAGGCAAGUGGAAUUCCUAGUGUAGCGGUGAAAUGCGUAGAUAUUAGGAGGAACACCAGUGGCGAAGGC